RNAcentral lists this long non-coding RNA (3680 nucleotides) under Homo sapiens (human). RNAcentral's name for it is "HSALNT0277941". Lineage: Eukaryota; Metazoa; Chordata; Mammalia; Primates; Hominidae. The record is from RNAcentral.
CUGUAGCCUGGAAGCCCCCCAGCACUCCUGCCCUCACUUUGAGCCGUCCGACCUUUCUGGAGCAAUCCGAAGUAUUUCUUUUCUUUUUUUUGAGACGGAGUCUUGCUGUGUCGCCCAGACUGGAGUGCAGUGGCGUGAUCUUGGCUCACUGCAACCUCUGCCUCCUGGGUUCAAGUGAUUCUCCUGCCUCAGUCUCCCGAGUAGCUGUGAUUACAGGUGCCCAGCACCACACCUGGCUAAUUUUUUGUAUUUUUAGUAGAGACGGGGUUUCACCAUGUUGGCCAGGCUGGUCUAGAAUUCCCGACCUCAUGAUCCAUCUGCCUCAGUCUCCCAGAAUGCUGGGAUUACAGGCGUGAGCCACCACGCUCAGCUUCUGUAUUUCUUAAAUGUGUUUGAUUGAUAGCUGAUGCUUCUCUAAAAUAUAUAAAACCAAAUUCCUAUCUAAGGGGUCUGGGGAGUCAUGCCGCACCCACACCACCUUGAGCACACACACAUUCUCAGGACCUCCUGAGCCCUGUGUUACGGGCCAUGGUCACUCGUAUUUGGCUCAGAAUACGUCUCUUCAAAUAUUUUACAGAGUUUGACUCUUUUUGUCGACAGGCCCAAGACCCAGGUGCCCACUCCCUGUCUCCUCGGAGGGCCCGCGCUUCCAGUUCUCUGGCACCUCUGGUUCCUGGUUGCCCUUCUACUUUCUGUUCUGCUUUCUCGAAAAGCUCUGAGCAUCUCAAGCCUCCAUGUAGUACCCAAUUCUACUUUUUAUUGAAAAUCUUACUUAAACACCAACUUGAUCACUGAUCAAGUUUUCUUGGCUCUUUCUCAGUCACGUUCCCUAGGCUGUGUCCUAGCCCAGAGCUGCACUGCUGGGAGGGAUUUGAGAAGGGAGGGGCAUGAGCAGAAGGGAGGGCUGGGUGCUCUUGGGUGCAGGAGGGUGGGCUGGGUGGAACAUGCAGGAAGGUCUGGGUGGAGGGGCUGUGAGGGUCAGGUCAGGACUCCCCUGUGAGACAGACACACAGGACAGGAACCCCUGCACUCCCCACUCAGGCCCGCCCACAGUGACUGUGGCUUGUUGCCAUGUUGCCCUGUUUCUCCCAAAAAUCAAUAUACUGAAGCCCUAACCCCUCUACCUCAAUGUGUGGUUGUAUUUGGAGACAGGUCCUUUUCAACAGAUGAUUAGUUAAUUAAUUAAUUAAUUUUUUUGGAGAUGGAGUCUCACUCUGUCGCCCAAGCUGCAGUGCAGUGGCACCGUGUCGGCUCACUGCAAACUCUGCCUCCCUGGUUCAAGUGAUUCAAGCCUCAGCCUCCCGAGUAGCUGGGAUUACAGGUGCCCACUACCAUGCCCAGCUACUUUUUGCACUUUCAGUAGAGGUGGGUUUUCACCAUGUUGGCCAGGCUGACCUCCAACUCCGCCACCUCAGCCUCCCAAAGUGCUGGGAUUACAGGCGUGAGCCACCGCACCCAGCCAACAGAUGAUUAACUAAUUAAUUAAUUUUUUUUUUUUUGAGAUGCAGCGUCACUGUGUCUUCCAGGCUGGAGUGCAAUGGCACGAUCUCAGCUCACUGCAACCUCUGCCUCCCGGGUUCCAGCGAUUCUCCUGCCUCAGCCUCCCGAGUAGCUGGUAUUACUGGCAUCCACUACCACGCCCUGCUAAUUUUUUUGUAUUUUUAGUAGAGACGGGGUUUCACCAUGUUGACCAGGCAUAUUUCCAACUCCUGACCUCAAGUGAUCUGCCAGCCUCAGCCUCCCAAAGUGGGAGGAUUACAGGCGUGAGCCACCACGCCCGGCCAAGAUGAUUAAUUUAAACGAGACCUCUAGUGUGGGCACAAAUUCACUUGGCGGGGGUCCAUCAAGGAGAAGGGUGGCCAAGUGCCCUGGCUCAUGCCUUUAAUCCCAGCACUUUGGGAGGCCGAGGUGGGCAGUCAGGAGUUCGAGACCAGCCUGGCCAACAUGGUGAAACCCCAUCUCUACUAAAAAAUACAGAAAUUAGCAGAGAGUGGUUCUGGGCGCCUGUAAUCGCCGCUACUCAGAAGGAUGAGGCCAGAGAAUUGCUUGAACCUGGGAGGCGGAGGUUGCAGUGAGCAGUGAUCAUGCCAUUGCACUCCAGCCUGGGCAACAGAGUAAAACACCGUCUCAAGACAAAAACAAAAACAAAAACAAAACAAAACAAAAAGGCCGGGUACGGUGGCUCAUACCUGUAAUCCCAGCACUUUGGGAGGUGGAGGAGGGUGGAUCACCUGAGCUCACGAGUUCAAGACCAGCCUGAGCAACAUGGAGAAACCUCGCCUCUACUAAAACUACAAAAUUAGCCGGGCGUGGUGGCGCAUGCCUGUAGUCCCAGCUACUCAGGAGGCUGAGACAGGAGAAUCGCUUGAACCCUGAAGGUGGAGGUUGCAGUGAGCCAAGAUUAUGCCAUUGCACUCCAGCCUGGGCAACGAGAGUAAAACUCUGUCUCAAAAAAAAAAAAAAAAAAAAAAGAUGAUAUUUGGAGGCAGAGAUACCCCAGAGGUGCAGGUAGGUGCACAGAGGAAAGGCCACAGAGGACACAGCCAGAAGGGAUUCCCUGCCAGCCAGGAGGAGCAGCCUCAGAGCAAACAACCCAACCCACCCCUCGAACUUGGACUUGGAGCCUCCAGAUGUGUGAGGAAAUAAAUGCCUGCUGUGUGGGCACCUGGCCUGGGGCAUGUUCUGUGGAGGCCACAGCAUGAAGGGGUCAUUUUUAUAGAGAAUCUCAUUCUCUAAUAACUUACAUCUGCCUAGAAAAUGACAAGUCAAAUUUAAAGUGUGGAGAAGAGCCUCUAAUUUCACAUUUCAUUUGCAAAGAAAGAAUUUGGGACAUACACGCAGUCUGGGUGGUGUUCACCAUGUUGGGAGAACAGAGACAGCAACAGGUUUUAUAAAAAGGAGAAAUGGGCUAGGCGCUGUGGCUCACACCAGCAAUCCCAGCAAUUUGGGAGGCCAAGGAGGUCGGAUCACUUGAGGUCAGGAGUUUAAGACCAGCCUAAGCCUGGCCAGGUGGCUCGCACCUGUAAUCCCAGCACUUUGGGUGCCCGAGACGGGUGGAUCACCAGGUCAGGAGUUCAAGACCAGCCUAGCCAAGAUGCUGAAACCCCAUCUCUACUAAAAAUACAAAAAUUAGCCAGGCGUGGUGGCACACCCAUGUAAUCCCAGCUACUCGGGAGGCUGAGGCAGGAGAAUAGUUUGAACCCGGGUGGCAGAGGUUGCAGUGAGCCCAGGUUGCACCACUGCACUCCAGCCUGGGUGACAGAGCAAGACUUCAUCUGAAAAAAAUAAAAAUAAGCCUGGCAUGGGCAACAUGAUGAAACCCGUUUUUACUGAAAAUACAAAAAUUAGCCCGGUGUGGUGGUGCACGCCUGUAAUCCCAGCUACUCGGGAGGCUGAGACAGGAGAAUCACUUGAACAACAGAGGUGGAGGUUGCAGUGAGCGGAGACUGCGCCAUUGCACUCCAGCCUGGGUGACAGGGCGAGACUCCACUUCAAAAAAAAAAAGGAGAAAUGUUCUCUUGCCCUGUGGGAAAGCCCACCAUGGGCACUAGGAAGUGUUGGGAGCUGGGAGGUUCCAUUGCUGAGUCACUGCGUUUGGAGCAAGGAGUCCAAGACUUACAGCCAUUUAUGGCAGAAGCUAUGGAUAAAGCUGGUUUCAGGGUACAAUGCACAGUUUCAGG